This 250-nucleotide ribosomal RNA is filed under the name uncultured bacterium. Its description in RNAcentral is "partial 16S ribosomal RNA". It matches the Rfam family "Bacterial small subunit ribosomal RNA", at positions 525 to 775 of the family's 1533-position model. The record is from RNAcentral.
ACGUAGGGGGCGAGCGUUAUCCGGAUUCAUUGGGCGUAAAGCGCGCGUAGGCGGCCGCGCAGGCGGGGGGUCAAAUCCCGGGGCUCAACCCCGGGCCGCCCCCCGAACCGCGCGGCUUGGGUCCGGUAGGGGAGGGCGGAACACCCGGUGUAGCGGUGGAAUGCGCAGAUAUCGGGUGGAACACCGGUGGCGAAGGCGGCCCUCUGGGCCGAGACCGACGCUGAGGCGCGAAAGCUGGGGGAGCGAACAG